UUGACCUCAAAUCAGGUAAGACUA
RNAcentral lists this ribosomal RNA (24 nucleotides) under Tricholoma caligatum. Its description in RNAcentral is "partial 26S ribosomal RNA". RNAcentral also lists the same sequence under 1 other name. Lineage: Eukaryota; Fungi; Basidiomycota; Agaricomycetes; Agaricales; Tricholomataceae. The record is from RNAcentral.